This 496-nucleotide ribosomal RNA is filed under the name uncultured bacterium. Its description in RNAcentral is "partial 16S ribosomal RNA". It matches the Rfam family "Bacterial small subunit ribosomal RNA", at positions 29 to 507 of the family's 1533-position model. The record is from RNAcentral.
AUGAACGCUGGCGGCGUGCCUAAUACCUGCAAGUCGCGCGAACGGACGAGAAGCUUGCUUCUCUGAUGUUAGCGGCGGACGGGUGAGUAACACGUGGAUAACCUACCUAUAAGACUGGGAUAACUUCGGGAAACCGGAGCUAAUACCGGAUGAUAUUUUGAACCGCAUGGUUCAAAAGUGAAAGACGGUCUUGCUGGCACUUAUAGAUGGAUCCGCGCUGCAUUAGCUAGUUGGUAAGGUAACGGCUUACCAAGGCAACGAUGCAUAGCCGACCUGAGAGGGUGAUCGGCCACACUGGAACUGAGACACGGUCCAGACUCCGACGGGAGGCAGCAGUAGGGAAUCUUCCGCAAUGGGCGAAAGCCUGACGGAGCAACGCCGCGUGAGUGAUGAAGGUCUUCGGAUCGUAAAACUCUGUUAUUAGGGAAGAACAUAUGUGUAAGUAACUGUGCACAUCUUGACGGUACCUAAUCAGAAAGCCACGGCUAACUACGUG